This 349-nucleotide long non-coding RNA is filed under the name Fukomys damarensis (Damara mole-rat). RNAcentral's name for it is "lncRNA (ENSFDAG00000023447.1)". The record is from RNAcentral. Lineage: Eukaryota; Metazoa; Chordata; Mammalia; Rodentia; Bathyergidae.
CGGGGGUCUCCUGACAACCCUAGUUGUGUUUCAUUGGUUGUCAUGGUGAUGGCCCCAUCCUCGUUGCCCUGUCAUGUGACGUAAGUAGGCCAGCUAAGGCCCCUGGGUAUGUGAAACGUUUAUGUCCCGCUUGCAGCCGUGCACCCCGUACGUCCCUUUUCAGGGUUUGUGACUGGUGGGCAGGUAGCGGAUGGGACCCAGUGGGUCCUGGCGUUGCUCACAGCCCUCAGCUGGCUCCAGAGAAGCUGUGCCACAGAAGCAGGACCGGCGCCAGCCCGGGACUGGGAUGGAGUCGCCUAAAAGUCUCCUCCAGGGAUGGAGAUGGGAUCCCCUUCCUGCCAGUGGCGGG